AAAUAGCAUGCCAUAUUUCAUUACUUCAAAAUCAUAACUUGCAAAGCUCAAAAUCUCUAAACUUCAUACUUUAAUAUCCAUUUUCUCUCAUUCACUACUCAUCAAUCACUAUGUCUGGAGGCUGUGGAAACUGCAACUGUGCUGACCAAAGCCAGUGUGUGAAGAAGGGAAACCAGUAUGGAUUUGACAUCAUUGAGAAUGAAAACAACAACUUUGAUGGCAUGGUGAUGGAAGAAGGCGGAAACUGUGACAACUGCAAGUGCGGCAGCGGCUGUGCAUGCACCAGCUGCACCUGCUGCUCUCACUGAGCGCGCUUAUUAUCUAUAAAGCCUCAUCAUAUUAUCUCUUUAAUAUGAUCAGCUUUUAAUUAAUCUACUUUUAUUAUGUACUAACUUAUACAUCAUUGUAUAAGAGAAAUUGCUAAAAUAAUUUGUUACUUUCACUGCUAUGUAAUGGCCCUUUGUGCCUAUGAUGUUUCUAUCAAUAUAAUGGGUCGAAUUUAUUAUUA
Molecule: long non-coding RNA, 508 nt
Organism: Beta vulgaris subsp. vulgaris (sugar beet)
Lineage: Eukaryota; Viridiplantae; Streptophyta; Magnoliopsida; Caryophyllales; Amaranthaceae
Exons: 3
Source: RefSeq, a predicted model, not a curated record